GACGAACGCUGGCGGCGUGCUUAACACAUGCAAGUCGAACGGAAAGGCCCUGCUUUUGUGGGGUGCUCGAGUGGCGAACGGGUGAGUAACACGUGAGUAACCUGCCCUUGACUUUGGGAUAACUUCAGGAAACUGGGGCUAAUACCGGAUAGGAGCUCCUGCUGCAUGGUGGGGGUUGGAAAGUUUCGGCGGUUGGGGAUGGACUCGCGGCUUAUCAGCUUGUUGGUGGGGUAGUGGCUUACCAAGGCUUUGACGGGUAGCCGGCCUGAGAGGGUGACCGGCCACAUUGGGACUGAGAUACGGCCCAGACUCCGACGGGAGGCAGCAGUGGGGAAUAUUGCACAAUGGGCGGAAGCUGAUGCAGCAACGCCGCGUGCGGGAUGACGGCCUUCGGGUUGUAAACCGCUUUCGCCUGUGACGAAGCGUGAGUGACGGUAAUGGGUAAAGAAGCACCGGCUAACUACGUG
RNAcentral lists this ribosomal RNA (467 nucleotides) under uncultured bacterium. RNAcentral describes it as "partial 16S ribosomal RNA". It matches the Rfam family "Bacterial small subunit ribosomal RNA", at positions 28 to 507 of the family's 1533-position model. The record is from RNAcentral.